ACUUCAUGGUUGGGACAUUGCAUAAGCUUCCCAUUAAAUUUCUCCUAUACCUCGUAUAGAGGCUUUCCAUUCAAUUGAUGAAAGUUUGUGAUUUCAUCAUGCAAUU
Molecule: non-coding RNA, 106 nt
Organism: Capsicum annuum
Lineage: Eukaryota; Viridiplantae; Streptophyta; Magnoliopsida; Solanales; Solanaceae
Source: Rfam